UCCGAGCGUGUGCGGGGCUGGAGCGCGGUGGGACGCGUGGCGGCGGCGGCGGCGGCGGCGGCCCCGUCCCCGCGGAUUGUUGGCUGGCGGUGCGGAUGGACGGACGGGCCACAACGCAUGUCGCCCUUCGCCUGCUGAACUCAGAGCGCUCGAGGAUGUCGGCGCUGAGGAAGGUCUGUAUGAGCUGUUGGCUGUUGUGCCAGGCCGGCUGGGGCCACGUGUGGACAGCCAGGAAGACCUGACCUUCCUCUGGGAUAUGUUUGGUGAGAAAAGCCUGCAUUCACCGGUAAAGAAGUUACUCGUCGAGCACCAUUUUCCUUUAGAUCUUCACAAUAUCCUGGGUAGCCUUAGGUUGUGAGGUGGAAGUCUCUACUCUUCUGUGGGUAAGUUUAUGAAAGACUGAAGUUCGUUUGUCCUUUAGCAGAACUGACUUGUUGGGUUCCUUGGGCCUGGAUG
RNAcentral lists this long non-coding RNA (456 nucleotides) under Canis lupus familiaris (dog). RNAcentral's name for it is "lncRNA (ENSCAFG00845022935.1)". The record is from RNAcentral. Lineage: Eukaryota; Metazoa; Chordata; Mammalia; Carnivora; Canidae.